UCCAAAUACAAACCAUCUUUUAAGUAGAAAAUUUUAAUUUUGCCUCAUUACAAGUCACUUGGUAUUUCCAAUUAUAUCUCCACUAUGCAAAAUCUUUGAUCUCAAGAGAAUAAUACAAUGAGACCCCCAACAGUGGUUAAACAAAGCAUCAUUGUUAACAAUGGACAUCUCAACAAGGUUGACACCUCCAUUGAAGCUAAUCAUUUGCUUAACCAAAGCUCCAAAAUCACCAAUAAUUGAUAAGAAGUCUACUAAAGAAACACCAACAUUACAACAGCUAUGAACAGAAAAGCAUGAGAAUCCCCCGAGACAAAGCAAAACAGCAGCUGCAAACAUAGCUUAGCUUGAGAAGAGCCUCCAAAGGUUGAAAACUUGCAAUCUGCCCCAUAAAAGAAACAGCCCAAAACAGAGUAUAAGCAAAACACUCAACAUCGCAUUUGAACAGCUAUACACGAACCGCACCUUGUACAACUUUGUGAGCACUCCUCCCAAAUACCCUGCAUCCAACAAACUUUGAACAUUAUACAGUAGGCCAUCAACUGGAACAGAGAAACCUUAGAUCUGUUCACAUUCUUCAAUGCUAUGCUUGAAACUUUAUUCCUUUUCAGAGAAAUCCAUCAAUAAACUCCAGAAGGCUAAUCACGUCUAUGCUGAUGUUGAAAUAUCCAUAUGACCCAGUUCUGACCCCUCUAUAUUAUUUAUAAGGCUUAUAUUUUUAUCUCCUUAAUACUUGAAUUUUAAGAAGAAAGAUGGACUGAGCCUUUCUAGUGAUAUUAAAGCAAGAUUGGGUCUAUCGAGUGUCCGGCUGCCCUAGGUCAGGGGGUGUAUUGAAAUGUCCCACGUUUCCUUAAAACCCAAGUAUUAAAAAGCCCUGGACCAAUACAGUGACAUUUCAACACACUGGGCGAUGUGAG
Molecule: long non-coding RNA, 914 nt
Filed under: Actinidia chinensis (golden kiwifruit)
Lineage: Eukaryota; Viridiplantae; Streptophyta; Magnoliopsida; Ericales; Actinidiaceae
Description: long non-coding RNA (ACHI_LNC005340)
Source: RNAcentral